This 446-nucleotide ribosomal RNA is filed under the name uncultured soil bacterium. Its description in RNAcentral is "bacterial SSU rRNA". It matches the Rfam family "Bacterial small subunit ribosomal RNA", at positions 26 to 518 of the family's 1533-position model. The record is from RNAcentral.
AGAGCGAACGCUGGCGGCAGGCCUAACACAUGCAAGUCGAACGGACCCUUCGGGGUUAGUGGCGGACGGGUGAGUAACACGUGGGAACGUGCCUUUAGGUUCGGAAUAGCUCCUGGAAACGGGUGGUAAUGCCGAAUGUGCCCUUCGGGGGAAAGAUUUAUCGCCUUUAGAGCGGCCCGCGUCUGAUUAGCUUGUUGGUGAGGUAAUGGCUCACCAAGGCUACGAUCAGUAGCUGGUCUGAGAGGAUGACCAGCCACAUUGGGACUGAGACACGGCCCAAACUCCUACGGGAGGCAGCAGUGGGGAAUCUUGCGCAAUGGGCGAAAGCCUGACGCAGCCAUGCCGCGUGUAUGAUGAAGGUCUUAGGAUUGUAAAAUACUUUCACCGGUGAAGAUAAUGACUGUAGCCGGAGAAGAAGCCCCGGCUAACUUCGUGCCAGCAGCCGC